Scomber scombrus (Atlantic mackerel) is the source of this 830-nucleotide long non-coding RNA. RefSeq lists it as uncharacterized. Lineage: Eukaryota; Metazoa; Chordata; Actinopteri; Scombriformes; Scombridae. The transcript has 2 exons. The record is from RefSeq and is a predicted model, not a curated record.
AGUUAGUAGUUUCACUGCUGUUUUCAAAUGAGAAUAGAGAACUAUGACUGAGAGCAGUUUUACUGUGAGCAUGAAUAGUGAUCUUUAAAAAAUGCUGUGAUUUGAUUUCAACCUUUUCUGUAUCACAUGUUUAGGAGCACCAGCACAACCCUGGUAAGGAUCUACACCUGUACACUACAGUAGGAGUCAGAGGCGUUAUCCCUAAUUUUGGCUUUUUUUUUGUUAAUCGAGUCUUCAUGUUUGCUCUUCAGAAAAAGGAGUUCUCUCCACGUGAGGUUGCAGCACUCGUCAUAGCAAUGAGCCGUCCCUGAAUCAAGAUGUGAAUGUUAUGCUGCCAGCCGGUUCAGAUCAGAGUCCAAUGGAAAUACAUGUCCUGUUGAAAGAAACCUUUACACAGCUACAACAGGAAGUGGAAACUCGAGUUCGGGCAGAAUGCAUGUGUUUAAUUUUAUUUGUUUUGUUAGUGAUUCUUUUCAUAUGGGUGUUUUGUCCAGACUUUGCAAAGACUCUGAAAAAGAUAGGACUGAUAUGACAUUAAUCUUGACUGGGCUGGUCUUUGUACCUAUCAGUUAAAGGCAUUAUUUUUUUGUUUUUGUCUACAAAUUCCAUUUAAAGAGACAAAGAACUAAAAAUUGGUUUGUCUCAGUAUUAUCCUACAUAUAUAAACAUGUUUUCAAUCAAAUAUAACACCAGGCCUAUACAACUUCACAGAAGCAGUAUAUAUCCUGCAUUGUUCACCUUGUUUCACCUUUCUCUUUCCCUCUGAAUGAAUACUUGCUCACUAUGGAUGCCACAUUUAUCUUGAUUAAAGAAUUACACGGAUGACACCA